CAUUCUCGAUUGUAGAAUUCAACUACCCAUGCUCAGGUAUUGGGUUUGAAGCCCUAAUAGUAGUAGAUUAGAUCUAUUACUGAAUGCUGAUUUUUUAUUCAUAUAUUUAUUAUUUUAAAUUCAGAUUUUUAUGCAUAUAAAUUCAUAUUAUAGAUUUAUUUGUAGGAGUUUUAAGAUCAGAUCUUAUGCAUUCAUUUAUAAAUUAAAUAGUUUAAUCUAAUAUUCUUCUACUAUAAAAUUUUUGAAAUGCAUGCAUGAAAUCCUAUGCAUUCC
This 273-nucleotide long non-coding RNA is filed under the name Elaeis guineensis (African oil palm). RNAcentral describes it as "long non-coding RNA (EGUI_LNC050952)". Lineage: Eukaryota; Viridiplantae; Streptophyta; Magnoliopsida; Arecales; Arecaceae. The record is from RNAcentral.